Hemiscyllium ocellatum (epaulette shark) is the source of this 363-nucleotide long non-coding RNA. RefSeq lists it as uncharacterized. The transcript is spliced from 2 exons. NCBI's taxonomy places the organism in Eukaryota, Metazoa, Chordata, Chondrichthyes, Orectolobiformes, Hemiscylliidae. The record is from RefSeq and is a predicted model, not a curated record.
ACCAGAAGACUGCAGGGCAGCUAAUGCUGUUCCAUCACUUCAGGGUUGCAGGGAAACAGCAGGAAAUUACAACCCCGUGAGCCCAGUGCUGGGUGUGCAGACUUCGAAGGAUAAAAUCACCACAAAACACCACACAGUGCAGUAACUCGAGAAUAACCACGGAAAGAGAACACACCUCCAAGACCAUCAGAAGUACAAGAAGACAUCACCAAGUCGAGCCCGGUCAACUUCUAGUGGGGUGGUUUGCGAUCAUCCAAAGUUACGUUCAAGCAUAAGAUCAUUUGUAGCGUUUAUCAUUGUAUUACAAUACAUUUUACUGUUAUAAUAUUAAAUGUGUUCAAUAAACAAAUAUUGUUUGAAAGA